GCCCACAGGGGGUUUGGUGCGGGAGCGCCUGGCGCCCCAGAAACCCUUUGUGAACUUAUACCUACUGUUGCCUCGGCGCAGGCCGGCCUUUGUCAAAGAAGGCCCCCUGGGAACAGGGAGCAGCCCGCCGGCGGCCAACUAAACUCUUGUUUCUAUAGUGAAUCUCUGAGUGAAAACAUAAAUGAAUCAAAACUUUCAACAACGGAUCUCUUGGUUCUGGCAUCGAUGAAGAACGCAGCGAAAUGCGAUAAGUAAUGUGAAUUGCAGAAUUCAGUGAAUCAUCGAAUCUUUGAACGCACAUUGCGCCCUCUGGUAUUCCGGAGGGCAUGCCUGUUCGAGCGUCAUUUCAACCCUCAAGCCUGGCUUGGUGAUGGGGCACUGCUCUCUCGCGGGAGCAGGCCCUGAAAUCUAGUGGCGAGCUCGCCAGGACCCCGAGCGUAGUAGUUACAUCUCGCUCUGGAAGGCCCUGGCGGUGCCCUGCCGUUAAACCCCCAACUUCUGAAAAUUUGACCUCGGAUCAGGUAGGAAUACCCGCUGAACUUAAGCAUAUCAAUAAGCGGAGGAAAUCAUUGCUGGAACGCGCCUCGGCGCACCCAGAAACCCUUUGUGAACUUAUACCUACUGUUGCCUCGGCGCAGGCCGGCCUUUGUCAAAGAAGCCCCCUGGGAACAGGGAGCAGCCCGCCGGCGGCCAACUAAACUCUUGUUUCUAUAGUGAAUCUCUGAGUGAAAACAUAAAGAAUCAAACUUUCACACGGAUCUCUUGGUUCUGGCAUCAAGAAAGACGCACGAAAUGCGAUAAGUAAUGAUGGAAUGUAGAAAUACUGAAUAUGCAUCUUUGCGCCAUUGGCCUUCUGUAUCUCGAAGGCAUGCUGUUCAGCUCAUUCUCCUCCACCUGGGAUGGUGUAUGGGCAUGCCUCUUCGGGGAGACGGCCCGACACUAAGUGCGAUUCCAGACACAAAGACAAUAAUAUCACCUAUCGUCCGUGUGAAUGA
RNAcentral lists this ribosomal RNA (995 nucleotides) under fungal sp. DTL2.1. RNAcentral describes it as "eukaryotic LSU rRNA". The stretch from base 191 to 344 matches the Rfam family "5.8S ribosomal RNA". The record is from RNAcentral. Lineage: Eukaryota; Fungi.